GCCUGCAAACCCUCUCUUCUCCUCCCUCUCUCGACCUCGCUCUUGCUCACGGCUCACCCUCGCUGCCUCUCUCUCUCUGCCUCCUCUUCUCUUGCACGUCCGCUCGUGCUUGCCCUCGCUCGGGCUCGCCCCCUCUUGCUCUCGCUCGCCCUCCGGCUCUCGCUGCCUUUCUCUCGCUCUCGCUCGCCCUCGCUGCCUCUCGCCCUCGCUCUCUGCCUGACUGCCUCUCUCUUGCUCUCGCUCGCCCUCGCCCCCACGCUCGCUCGGCCAGUCGGCUUCGCCCUCUUGCUCGCUGCGCUGCCUCUGAUUCUGGUCUUCGUUUUACCCCCCCAAACUUCCAGUUUUGCUUCAUUCGAGCCCAGACAAAAAUGGAGCAAAGAUUGGCGAAUACUUUGCGGCUGACUAUUAAUGAGAAGAAAUUCAUUGUGUCAGCUUUACUAUCAGACCUUAGGAUUGAUGGUCGACGUCCAUUUGAUUAUAGAAGGUUAAAUAUUAAGUUCAGUAGAGAAGAUGGGUCAUCCGAAGUGCAGCUUGGCCAAACUCAUGUAAUGGGGUUUGUGACAUCCCAACUAGUUCAACCUUAUCGAGAUAGGCCAAAUGAAGGGAGUCUUUCAAUCUUCACUGAGUUCUCUCCAAUGGCUGAUCCUUCAUUUGAGGCAGGGCGUCCCGGAGAAUAUGCUGUGGAGUUGGGACGCAUAAUAGACCGUGGUUUAAGGGAAAGCCGGGCAGUAGACAUGGAAUCACUUUGUGUGAUAGCUGGGAAGUUAGUUUGGGCCAUUCGCAUUGAUCUUCACAUCCUAGACAAUGGGGGAAAUCUUAUUGAUGCUGCCAAUAUUGCUGCUCUGGCUGCUCUGUUGACAUUCCGGCGGCCUGAAUGCACAUUAGGUGGAGAAGAUGGUCAGGAAGUUAUAGUACAUCCACCUGAGGAAAGGGAGCCACUUCCUUUGAUAAUACAUCACCUUCCUGUUGCUGUAAGCUUUGGAUUCUUCAGCAACGAGAACAUUGUGGUGGUGGAUCCUUCCCAUGAUGAAGAGGCUGUUAUGAAGGGAAGAAUGACCGUGACACUUAAUAUCAAUGGGGAUGUUUGUUCUAUUCAAAAACCUGGAGGAAUUGGUGUCAUGCAUAGUGCCAUUAUGCAGUGUUUGAGAAUUGCUUCCGUGAAGGCUGCUGAUAUAACAAGCAAGAUUAAGAAUGCUGUUGAAUCUUACAACACUGAAAAGGCACUGCGGAAGAUCAAACAUCACUCUUCUUUUACUGCCUUUGAUAUUAAUGAGCCUGGUGGGAAGCAGUGGAGCCACAACCAAUCUGUUGAUCAGAAAGGAGCCAGCGGCAGUCCAGCAUAUCAUGUAGAGAGAGUAAAGAUUGAAGAGGAAAGUGGUGUCAGUUGGAGCAAUAAGAUGGAAGUUGAACAUCAAUCAUCUGGACAGGACAGAAUAAACAGCAGUGAUGGCUAUACAACAAGAUCCAUUGGCAGGCCCGUAAGUUGGGAUCCGUACUCAAAGGGCGCUGAUUUUGAUGCAUUGAAAACUUCUCUAGAGUCACGUGGAGCACCAACACUGAAGAAGCAGCUAAAAGAAUCAAUUCCUGAGGAGCCCUCUGGAUCUGAACCAGACCAACUUCUUGCCAAUAUCAACCCUGAAUCUUCUCCAGAUGGGACUCUGGGAGCAGGAGGACAAGCAAAUGGAAGGAAGACUUUAAAAGAUGCAGUGAAGCCCAAGCAUAAGAGGAAAAAAAAACAGAUCCUCCAAUAAUCUGUUGUAGACAUUAAAUGGUCUUUUUAGUGAGGCAGCGAACGAUUAACAUGGAUUAGUUGAUGGAUGCAAUUUUUGUUAUGACACCCUAACGAUUUGGCAAGGGGCAUUUGCUUUGCUAGAAGUCCCUGUUUUGGAGAGCAGGAAGAUCAUAAUUUUCAAUGGUUUGCAAGAUACAACCAUGAUGAGGAUAGCUUGUUUGCUGGCCUUUAAAUUGAUUUAAAUAGUGGACACCCAGAAAUUACUUGCCAAAGGUGAUGAUGCUGACUUGAGAAGGAAGAUUCCUACUCAUGGUGGCAUUGUAUGCAGCAUAACCCUUCACAAGAUGGAACCAAAUUUUAAGGUAAAGGAGUGUUCUGAGAACAUCCACCCAUUUAGGUACUUUUCUAGUUUUUUGGUAGGUGUUGGAAUUUUGAAGUCCCUUUUGCUCACUCUGGUUGAAGGUUAUAUCUUGGUGUGAAGUUACCAAUAUGAGUUUAGUGUCCGCCGGGGCGCCUCUAUUAUCAUGCCAUUUCCGAUCUAUUGGGGCCAUGCCCUCUGUAGGAGUUUUGGCAUGUUAGCCUUGGAUCUAUUGGGACAUUUCCAUCAUGAUGUUUUGUUUUUCAAUUGGUGGCUGGAUCUUUUGGACUGAUUUCCAUCCCCAAGGGAUUGUGUGAAAUUUCCAUAUUUCGUAGUCGAAUGUAAGGUUUAUGCAUUUUCUUAUGGGCUUUAGGCUGUUGUGCAGUGUCUAAUGGGGACAAGAAAAGAUCAUGCAAUUUGAUCCUAUUGAGUAUGCCUUAUGGAAUGAGAAGGUUUCUGCCUUUUGAUGGUUUAUUUUUUA
Molecule: RNA transcript, 2571 nt
Organism: Diospyros lotus (date-plum)
Lineage: Eukaryota; Viridiplantae; Streptophyta; Magnoliopsida; Ericales; Ebenaceae
Gene name: exosome complex component RRP45A-like
Exons: 12
Source: RefSeq, a predicted model, not a curated record